GUGAGGAAUAUUGGGCAAUGGAUGCAAGUCUGACCCAGCCAUCCCGCGUGCCGGAAGAAGGCCCUCAGGGUUGUAAACGGCUUUUGACGGUGAAGAAUCGACAGGAUGCGUCCUGUUUUGACGGUAGCCGUUGAAUAAGCACCGGCUAACUCCGUGCCAGCAGCCGCGGUAAUACGGAGGGUGCGAGCGUUGUCCGGAUUUAUUGGGUUUAAAGGGUGCGUAGGCUGGAAGGUCAGUCAGCGGUGAAAAGCUGUCGCUUAACGAUAGUCUUGCCGCAGAUACUUCCUUUCUUGGAUGAGGAGGAGGCCACUGGAACGGAUGGUGUAGCGGUGAAAUGCAUAGAUAUCAUCCAGAACACCGAUUGCGAAGGCAGGUGGCUGUACCUUAAUCGACGCUGAUGCACGAAAGCAUGGGGAGCAAACAGGAUUAGAAACCCCUGUAGUCC
RNAcentral lists this ribosomal RNA (445 nucleotides) under uncultured bacterium. RNAcentral's name for it is "partial 16S ribosomal RNA". It matches the Rfam family "Bacterial small subunit ribosomal RNA", at positions 354 to 796 of the family's 1533-position model. The record is from RNAcentral.